Long non-coding RNA from Helianthus annuus (common sunflower), 2717 nucleotides. RefSeq lists it as uncharacterized. The transcript is spliced from 15 exons. NCBI's taxonomy places the organism in Eukaryota, Viridiplantae, Streptophyta, Magnoliopsida, Asterales, Asteraceae. The record is from RefSeq and is a predicted model, not a curated record.
UAAUUCUUAUUUGAGCGGCAAUUUAGAAUUCUCUCAAUUCUCCUCCUUUGUUCUUCAAUUCAUAUACGCGCCUUUCAAUUCCCUUUAAUCGAUUAUGAAACGCUCAUGGUUUUAUAUGGAAAGUUGAAUAAAUAAUCAAUUACUUGAAGAUCUUUUACGAAAAAAACACGGACACAAAUUAGCGUUUCACAAAUCUCCUCAUUUUUAUCCGCCUCCGUCUCUCUCUCUCUCUCUUGCGGCGAUUCAGAAACACGAAGGCUAUCUUCACCAGAUUUGUUUGAGAUUUUGCUUUCUUCGGCUGCAAUUGAUGGUGGUUGUCUGGUUAAGUUGGCAUUCCGACCACUCGACAACCGUAAGAUCGACGGAGAAGAGGUGCAACUGACACUUUUAGAUCUACGGCCCCCAAACCCUAAUGCGUUCAAACAUUCCGGUCUGGUAUAAGAUCAACGGAGAAGAGGUGCAACUGAGCUUUUAGAUCUGCGGCUCACAAACCCUAAUACGGUCAAACUUUUAGAUCUGGUAUAAGCUUUUGAAGUUAACAGAUUUAAUUCUUACGAUUCUAUGGGAACAAUUGAUGAUUUUGUUGCAAAACAUAACUUAACGAAGAUGAAUCAUGUGGUUUGUUCGAAGCCUAGGCAAGUCAACCUCUUCAGUUCCACCUUGAACGGGCCUGUUAUGAAUUAAAGAUGACAAAUGUGGUUUGUUUAAUUGAUGUGGGUGGACAUUACGGUAAGCUUAUAGGUAUGCUUACUAAGAAAGAUGCUGCUACAAUUGGUGUCAUCCUGGGAAUCGAAUGUAUUCACAAUAAGUUUUCCAGAAGACUUCAUUAAGGGCCUGAUUCUAUCUGUUCAUUCUUUGCUUCCACUUGAGCCUCUUUUAGACGGGUGUGAAAAGAGGAUUGUAGUUUAUCAGCAACUUCUUCUGUUGUAUCUUCUCUACCUGAGUCUAUCAGAAGCUAAAUGGGAAUGGGGAUAGUUGAAACAAAAAGUAGGGUAUAUCCCAAACGGGUCAAAAAUAUGAAACUAUGAGGCAGAGCGGCUGGGAUCAUAGUACGCUCCAGUACACAGAACGAAAACAGAGUCCCAAAGACUACCCUAAGGUAUUUGAUGCCAUUCAUUGUGCACGUUGCAGAGUCGCCACGUUGAAGGUUAUAUUUUCAAAUAGUUUGUUUUGGUGAAUUAAAAUUAAAAAAAUGAUUUAAUUAUGAACAGAAAAUCGUUUAAAGAUGUAAUACGUAUGUUUUCAAGUGGAAAACUUUUGUUGGAGCUUAACUGUCUUUUAAGACCUGGUGGUUAUUUUGUUUGGUCUGCUACCCCCGUUUACAAAAAGUUGGCUGAAGAUAUGGAGAUGUGGGAAGGUUCUAGGUCUUGAAACUGAAAUCAGAAUGUUGAAAUCGCUAGAUCUUCAGUCACUGGCUAGGCUUCGAUGGGUGAGGUUGUGAUUCACUCGGAUUAAGAUGCAGAUUGGAGCAUGGCACCUGACCAGAGUGUCGUUUAGUGUUGCUAGGACUGGUGAAAACGCGAUACCAUCACCAGCAGAUUUACGUACAUCUGCCAAUUUCUUGGCUUCACAAUAUUCAUUUUGUUUUAACAAUUGACUAACACCAGCCAGGCUCUCCGAAGUCGGAAAGCUUACAUCCGAACGUGUCUGCGGCUGUAAAUGGUGUCGCUCUUGUUGGAACCCUAUCUGACCAAUUGUUCUUCGGGUGGCUCGGUGAUAAACUGGGUAAGCAGAAGGUUUACGGCAUCCGACCAAUCAUCUUUUACUUUCAUUCUUGAUGAUCCUACUGGCAACAUCUUUUACUCUUUCCUGUCACACCGUUGCAUUUGAUAAGACUAGGACAUUGAGGACAGGGGAGUUUAUGUGCAAAGCGAUUGAGCCCAUACACGGACAUGAAGCUACCGCUUCUUGUUGCGUUACGACGUGUGAGAAAGAAGCUCUUGCUGUUGCUUCUGCUAUGGAAAAAGGCACCACCCACCCGAUCGGAAGGGUAAUAUGUGAUCUUUAGUCUUCUAAUGGUAUACACCCUUCCUUUACCAGAGGACCAACAAGUUAUGGAGCUCUAUUUGUGUUGCGAUUUCUUUAUAGAAAAUAUGAUUUCAAGUCAGAUGAGGAGAGCCAAAUUGCGUACUUAACUUGAGCGAGCCAAUGAGUGAGUUGCCAUAAUUCUCAAAAUUAUGCUACAGAUGCAGUGAGAGAAGCCUUUUUUAUGCAAGAUUCGUUCGAAGAUGACAAGUCAAAGAUUCUUAUGAUAUUAUGUGCAAGCCCGGAUCCAAAGGAAAUGCAUAAGACAAUAUCGACAUUGGAAUACGGUGCAAAAGCCAAAUGCAUCGUGCGUGGGCCUCAUACGCCAAUUAAGGGAGACGAUUCGUCUUCGUCAGAUGUGAUGUUGGGUUCGAGCUCCACGACUACUUAGUUCAGCUGAUUGGCCAAGGCUUAAUGUCCUUUUUGAUAAAAGUUUUCAUCAUUUGCUUUAGACGAAGGAAGAGAGGGUUCAAAAUUUGUAUCUUACCAAGUUUUAUCUGAGUUUCAUGGUAGAGAUAGAAUGGACGUAUAUCAUUGAAGUAUAUUAUUUGAGAACGAGAUUGGAUCGAAGUAUAUGGAUAUGUACAAAUUUAUGCUCCCUAAUAUCAUUUAUGACAAUAACGUUGUAAAUAAACCUACUUUCGAUGUUUUGAUGAAAAUUUGUUACGGUUUAAUAAAUCUAACUCUUUAUA